This 476-nucleotide ribosomal RNA is filed under the name uncultured bacterium. RNAcentral describes it as "bacterial SSU rRNA". It matches the Rfam family "Bacterial small subunit ribosomal RNA", at positions 10 to 507 of the family's 1533-position model. The record is from RNAcentral.
AGUUUGAUCCUGGCUCAGGAUGAACGCUAGCGGCAGGCUUAACACAUGCAAGUCGAGGGGUAUAGUUCUUCGGAACUAGAGACCGGCGCACGGGUGCGUAACGCGUAUGCAAUCUACCUUUCACAAAGGGAUAGCCCAGAGAAAUUUGGAUUAAUACCUUAUAGUAAUACGACUUGGCAUCAAGAUGUAUUUAAAGAUUUAUCGCCCAAGGAUGAGCCCGCGUAGGAUUAGCUAGUUGGUGAGGUAAAGGCUCACCAAGGCGACGAUCCUUAGCUGGUCUGAGAGGAUGAUCAGCCACACUGGGACUGAGACACGGCCCAGACUCCUACGGGAGGCAGCAGUGGGGAAUAUUGGACAAUGGGCGAAAGCCUGAUCCAGCAAUGCCGCGUGAGUGAUGAAGGCCUUAGGGUUGUAAAGCUCUUUUGCCCGGGAUGAUAAUGACAGUACCGGGAGAAUAAGCUCCGGCUAACUCCGUG